Molecule: RNA transcript, 1145 nt
Organism: Zea mays
Lineage: Eukaryota; Viridiplantae; Streptophyta; Magnoliopsida; Poales; Poaceae
Exons: 4
Source: RefSeq, a predicted model, not a curated record
AGUUCUAUACGACAAACGAGCGUGUGGUGGGGAAAAUGAAUAGAGAGUGAGAUAGAGAGGGUCGGAGGGGUGGGCAGUGCGUCACGGGAUGGGCGCAGGGGCGAGGCUACGCACGAUGGCACGAGCGAGGGUGAUGUUGAGCGUGAUGGCAGGAGCGAGUUGCGCGCGAGAGCGAAUUGGCGGAGCAGGCGAGGACGCAAGGGCGAGGACGCGCCUACGACCUACGCAAGAGCGAGCUGUGGACAGUGCUCGUGGGCUGUCCAGCGGGCGGUGCGCGGGUGUUGUGCAGCGAGCGGUGCACAGUGGUUGUGCGACGACGAUAGCGAAGUCUGGUUGGGGCACUCGAGCACUCGCGGUGCCUUAUUUCUAUUUGAUUUUGCGCAGGUUACCAGGUCUUCCUCUAUGAUCAGCGUCUUGAGAAUGUCAGCACUUCCAUAUCUUGGACAUCCCUCUUAGUGUUUGUUGAAAUGUCUCUUAGAAAAUGCUUCUCCGAAUAUUGCAUUACAUUGGCAUCAUUCAAAUUUCAAAGGCUUUGAAAAUAAAGAAGUAUUGGUCUGUAGACUUUGAUUUAGUGUAAUUUCAUUCGUGGGAUUCUCUUCGAACAAAUAUAUAGGAAAAUACAUCUCUCAAACAUUCUACAAUUGUUUUGUUUGUAUGUUUAGAGUGGAAUGCUAGGAUAAAAAUGUAGAUCAUCUGCUACUGAUAUGUGCAUUCGUUUGCUGAAAUGAAUGAAUGAAAAAACUUGUUGUGAUUCUCCCUCUCAUAAAUAAUUUUUUUGUCUCUACUCUCCGCAUGCAGUUUAUAUGCUCCAGAACCAGGAGGCUCAUGCUGCAGAGGGUCCCACUGAAAUAACAAAUGGAUACUCAGAUCUGCAACUUUCCUAUGCGGCCUUCACUCGAUAAUGUGAUCAUCUUCUGAUGACCAUCACCUGCUGCGUGUUCUCCAAAUUUCUCAGUUCAUGCCAAUGCAAUGCAGCAGGCAGUGGCGCUGAGAGGCUCCGGGAUCUACCACCGCCCCGGGAUCUACCACCGCCCUGAGCAGUCAUCACAUUCUUGUCAAGAUCUGGCUUGGCCUUUCUCUUUGCUUCUGCAAUUACGCCAUCCUUGGGAACAACAGACAAAAGCGUUGGGUUUAUUACCUUCGAG